GGGGGACCAUCCUCCAAGGCUAAAUACUCCUGACCGACCGAUAGUGAACCAGUACCGUGAGGGAAAGGCGAAAAGAACCCUGGUGAAGGGAGUGAAAUAGACCCUGAAACCGUGUGCGUACAAGCAGUCGGAGCCCGCAAGGGUGACGGCGUACCUUUUGUAUAAUGGGUCAGCGACUUACUGUUCGUGGCGAGCUUAACCGUAUAGGGGAGGCGAAGGGAAACCGAGUCUGAAAAGGGCGCAUAGUCGCGGGCAAUAGACCCGAAACCGGGUGAUCUAGUCAUGCCCAGGAUGAAGGUUGAGUAACAUCAACUGGAGGUCCGAACCCACUCCCGUUGCAAAGGUAGGGGAUGAGGUGUGAUUAGGAGUGAAAAGCUAAUCGAACCCGGAGAUAGCUGGUUCUCCUCGAAAGCUAUUUAGGUAGCGCCUCAUGUGAAUCUUCUUGGGGGUAGAGCACUGUUAUGGCUAGGGGGUCAUUGCGACUUACCAAACCAUUGCAAACUCCGAAUACCAAGACAGACUGCAUGGGAGACACACGGCGGGUGCUAACGUCCGUCGUGAAAAGGGAAACAACCCAGACCCACAGCUAAGGUCCCAAAUUAUCACUAAGUGGGAAACGAUGUGGAAAGGCACAGACAGCCAGGAGGUUGGCUUAGAAGCAGCCACCCUUUAAAGAAAGCGUAAUAGCUCACUGGUCGAGUCGGUCUGCGCGGAAGAUUUAACGGGGCUAAGUGAUAAACCGAAGCUUGGGGUGCACAUAUUUAUAUGUGCGCGGUAGAGGAGCGUUCCGUAAGCCGUCGAAGGCAGAUUGAGAAGUCUGCUGGAGGUAUCGGAAGUGCGAAUGCUGACAUGAGUAACGAUAAUGGGGGUGAAAAGCCUCCACGCCGAAAGCCCAAGGUUUCCUUGCGCAACGUUAAUCGACGCAGGGUGAGUCGGCCCCUAAGGCGAGGCAGAAAUGCGUAGUCGAUGGGAAGCUGGUUAAUAUUCCAGCACCUCGCAUAAGUGCGAUGGGGGGACGGAGAAGGUUAGGUCUACCAGGCGUUGGUUGUCCUGGGGAAAGGCGGUAGGAGUGGGUCUUAGGCAAAUCCGGGACCCUUUAACUCCGAGCACCGAGACGAGCUCAUUAGAGCGAAGUGACUGAUACCACGCUUCCAGGAAAAGCCCCUAAGCUUCAGCUUAUGCAGACCGUACCGUAAACCGACACAGGUGGGUAGGAAGAGAAUUCUAAGGCGCUUGAGAGAACUCGGGUGAAGGAACUAGGCAACAUAGCACCGUAACUUCGGGAGAAGGUGCGCCCUUGAUCGUGGCCCAUGCGGGCUACAGCGAUCGGGGGCCGCAGUGACCAGGCCGCUGCGACUGUUUAUCAAAAACACAGGACUCUGCAAACACGAAAGUGGACGUAUAGGGUCUGACGCCUGCCCGGUGCCGGAAGGUUAAUUGAUGGGGUCAGCCGCAAGGCGAAGCUCUUGAUCGAAGCCCCGGUAAACGGCGGCCGUAACUAUAACGGUCCUAAGGUAGCGAAAUUCCU
RNAcentral lists this ribosomal RNA (1528 nucleotides) under Pseudomonas sp. RNAcentral describes it as "partial 23S ribosomal RNA". It matches the Rfam family "Bacterial large subunit ribosomal RNA", at positions 447 to 1969 of the family's 2925-position model. The record is from RNAcentral. Lineage: Bacteria; Pseudomonadati; Pseudomonadota; Gammaproteobacteria; Pseudomonadales; Pseudomonadaceae.